AAGACGUAUGACUCUUGAAAUUUACAUAGGGAGAAAGGAGAUUGCCUACUGGAAGUCCAGGUGAUUGGGUGUAGGGGAAAAGCUGUGUGUGGCUUCGCAGCCCAACUGGGAGGAGGGGACAGGGGCGGGAAGUGGCAGGAAAUGGCGAAAGCCUCAGGAAUGUUUCCAGCAGGGAAGGCUGGGCAAACGGGGCCAGGAGGAAUGCCCAGACAAGAACUCUG
Molecule: long non-coding RNA, 221 nt
Filed under: Homo sapiens (human)
Lineage: Eukaryota; Metazoa; Chordata; Mammalia; Primates; Hominidae
Description: HSALNT0015611
Source: RNAcentral